CCUACGGGAGGCAGCAGUGAGGAAUAUUGGUCAAUGGUCGGGAGACUGAACCAGCCAAGCCGCGUGAGGGAUGAAGGUACAGCGUAUCGUAAACCUCUUUUGUCAGGGAACAAAGUCGGGGACGUGUCCCCGGCUGAGUGUACCUUAAGAACAAGCAUCGGCUAACUCCGUGCCAGCAGCGGCGGUAAUACGGAGGAUGCGAGCGUUAUCCGGAUUUAUUGGGUUUAAAGGGUGCGCGGGCGGUCUGUUAAGUCAGCGGUCAAAGCCCGGGGCGAAACCCCGGCCCGCCGUUGAAACUGGCAGUCUCGAGUGGGAGAGAAGUAUGCGGAAUGCGCGGUGUAGCGGUGAAAUGCAUAGAUAUCGCGCAGAACUCCGAUUGCGAAGGCAGCAUGCCGGCUCCACACUGACGCUGAGGCACGAAAGCGUGGGUAUCGAACAGGAUUAGAUACCCCAGUAGUC
Molecule: ribosomal RNA, 459 nt
Filed under: uncultured bacterium
Lineage: Bacteria
Description: partial 16S ribosomal RNA
Rfam family: Bacterial small subunit ribosomal RNA
Source: RNAcentral